GACGAACGCUGGCGGCGUGCUUAACACAUGCAAGUCGAACGGUGAUGCUCCAGCUUGCUGGAGUGGAUCAGUGGCGAACGGGUGAGUAACACGUGAGCAACCUGCCCCAGACUCUGGAAUAAGCGCUGGAAACGGCGUCUAAUACUGGAUACGAAACUGGCCCGCAUGGGCAUGGUUUGUAAAGUUUUUCGGUUUGGGAUGGGCUCGCGGCCUAUCAGCUUGUUGGUGAGGUAAUAGCUCACCAAGGCGACGACGGGUAGCCGGCCUGAGAGGGCGACCGGCCACACUGGGACUGAGACACGGCCCAGACUCCUACGGGAGGCAGCAGUGGGGAAUAUUGCACAAUGGGCGAAAGCCUGAUGCAGCGACGCCGCGUGAGGGAUGACGGCCUUCGGGUUGUAAACCUCUUUCAGCAGGGAAGAAGCGAAAGUGACGGUACCUGCAGAAGAAGCACCGGCUAACUACGUG
Molecule: ribosomal RNA, 468 nt
Filed under: uncultured bacterium
Lineage: Bacteria
Description: partial 16S ribosomal RNA
Rfam family: Bacterial small subunit ribosomal RNA
Source: RNAcentral